This is a non-coding RNA of Pelobates cultripes (western spadefoot toad), 306 nucleotides long. Lineage: Eukaryota; Metazoa; Chordata; Amphibia; Anura; Pelobatidae. The record is from the annotation of a GenBank genome assembly.
ACAGACAUACAUACAUACAUACAUACUGGCGUACACACAUACAUACAUACAUUCAUACAGACACUGACAUCCAUACAUACACAUUCAUAAUGACAUACAGACAUACAUUCAUACUGGCAUACACACAUUCAUACAGACAGACAUACAUACACUGACAUUCAUACACACACACACACAGCUCAUUUUCCAGCCACCCUCCUGUCUCUUACCUUGUCUUUGCAGGAGGGUGGCUGGGGCUGAUGGGACUGGAAGUCUGCUGGCUCUCCCUCUUCAUUGCUGGGCGUGCGCUCCUCCCGCGCGGAGUGA